Molecule: long non-coding RNA, 1190 nt
Filed under: Betta splendens (Siamese fighting fish)
Lineage: Eukaryota; Metazoa; Chordata; Actinopteri; Anabantiformes; Osphronemidae
Description: lncRNA (ENSBSLG00000012474.1)
Source: RNAcentral
AUGCACACUCUGAGCUCAGGAAGCGCAACACGCACACUGCGUCGGUGCGCAGCAGAGGAAACUCAGGACCUGCACAGUCGUCAGCCGCCUUCCUGCGCUCGCCAGGCUCGGGCCGCUCCGAGCGCCGCCGCCACCGGGACGAUGCCCCAGCGCACGCAGCAUCCGCUGGUCCACGUCCUGCUCUUCUGGAUCACCAUCCUCACCGUGGUCCAGGUGGUCUUCGUCGCCCUCUUCUUCACAAACGGACACACGUCUCAGAACACUAAAGCUGUACAAGCAGAUCUCAAUAAGCAAACCCAGGCAAACAAUGCAUCUUCGUUAUCUGAUCAUGGAACGGUCUUAGGACAAAUGCUGUCCUUCAGAGCCAAACCAGGCACAGCUGUCAGAAAUAUCACGUGGAUUUCGACGAAUGGACCCCAAGAUCUGGUUUUACCGCAAAAGAAUGUCCUGACGUUACAGGCGGACGGAUAUUACUUCCUGAAUCUUCAGGUGACUGUGUACUCGUUCAAUCCGCGCGCGCCGCUCACGGUCCGCCUGUUGCGCAACGGACGCAAGGUCCUCCUGGAGGGUCCGAUUAACCCGCACACAAACAGCACGGGCCUCCUGGGCAAGGCAGAGGAGCUGACGGCCCAAACGGAACUGUCGGUCUCCAUCGACCCGCAGGCGGUGAACGUCAAUGACAGUGCAUCCGUCACCCACCUGGACAUCGUCUACAUGCACAAACCCAGGAACAACCAGUCUUGAGCCUCGUGGAGGUCCAGGACAUCGGUCCGGCCCCCCCGGACCCCUGUUGUUUUGGUUCUCUACCGAGCAGAGCGUUCUCUCCCUGCAGCCGAGGGACGGCGGCAUCGCUGCAGCUCACUUCCUCUGCCUUUGUGUUUAAUGGAAGAAAGCGUCUUCAUAGUCUUGUAGAAAAACCAUGAAUUAAGAAAAAAGCUGUUAUCAGGGAGUACAUUCAUCUCCAGCCUGUGAAGCUAGUAUUCAGACCAAACUACAUCUAAAAUGAGCAGUAGCGAAUCCUCAACAACCAAAUCAAACUUUCUAAAAUCCACGUCUCACCCUCUGUGUUUGUCGUCUGUGGUUCAUAUAUUUAUGCUUUAUUUAUUGUUGGGACCUAAAUUAACGUGCACACAGCAUCUCAUGAGCUAAUUGCAAAUAAAGAUGGACCCAUGGGCCCUAAUGUUAGCGGU